AAAACAAGUUAUGUGCUUGUUAUAGCCUGUCCUGGGCAAAAUUACCCACCUGGUGACAGUGACAGCCAAGUAAGAGGUCCCUGAGAGCCGAGGCCAAGGAGCGUGGAGCAAGGGAGGACAGACCCUGGGGCAAGACGUCCAGGGCCUGAGACUGUGGUGCCACAGGCCUGGUACCAUCCACUGCCUCCGAGUGACUUCUACUGAUUUCUGUGACAACAGCCUUCUUGCAACUGAACGGAUGACUUCAUAGAGGACAGAAAUCCGUGUGUAGUGCGUGUUCUCACAGGUUCCCGUAUGCAUCGAAUACGGUGCUUGCUUUACAGAAAGGGGAGCACAGACCUCUGAAUGGAAGGAAGCUCCGAGACGGGUGCUCUGCCCACCAACACCCUCGUCACCUCUUUCCACGUUUCCAUAGCAACGGUGGGGAGAGAGAUCAACAUCUGCCCUCUCUACUAGAUUCCUCUGCAAGGCAGGGACCCUAUGCCUGCUGGACUCUGUUCGGGAAAUAAUCUGUUAAAGAAACAUCUGCAUUGUCUCCCAAGCCCUGUGGAACCAUCCUUGCAGGCCAGACUGUUUCUUCUUACAGCUGACCCCUAAUGUGGGCUUUCAAAUGAUUUGAUAAUGAACUGAGACUGUGACCCCGGCCUCAUCCCAGCCCCCACAGGAAGUGCAGCACAAUGUUGCCUGCUGCCUUGAAAUCUAACAAAGGCCCAAAGCUGAAGAGUGGAAAGUCUUUCAUGCCCAAUCAGUGCUUGUGCCCAGUUAUGGUUCCUGAAGCUGCUGCAGCGGUCCUGGCUUCAGAUGUGGCUUCAGGGAGAGGAAGAGAGGAAGAGACUUGGAUCUGAAGGAACCUGUUUUUCAGCCAAGAAGAGAACAGGAGAAAUGAAGAUAUGGCCUAUGUGGUAUCCUCCAUUAGCAGAAUUGUGAACAAAGUUGUAUCAAGAAUUUCAAUUCGGACAGAGACAAUAUUAAAAUGGAUUGAGACUGGAAUGGAGUGAACAGAUUUGUGAGAUUCAAAUUAUCUUUAAUGGUCAAACUUAUGAAUUCUUCAUUGGUCAAAUAAUCCUGUGUGUUCAUCCUUUGCUUUUCUUUUUCUCAAUCUGAUUUACAAGAGAUUAGCAUGCACCUAAUUUAUAAAUAGCUAUGAUGAAGAGGGAUACAUUUUAACUUCAAAUAAAACCAAUGUAAGGCACAACUAUUCAGGAAUAUUUUAUAUUUUCAAAGUAUUUAGGAAUAGUUUAAUUAGAAAAAUAAAGGCAAUGGGAUUAUCUAUCAGGUUCUAAAAGUACCCAGGAAUUAAAUCACUCCCCCCAACAAAACAAAACCUUAAAUCACAUUGCUAUUAAGCUUUCUUACAGUAAAGAAUAAAACCAAACUAUGCUGAAGUACAAAAUCCUGAAAUUCUGAGCAUGAAAAUAAUUUAUUGACUAGACAUCUGAUUUAUUCAAGCAGUAGGCCUACUGAACACAGCUAUGGAGUAGGAAAAAAAAAAUUCCAUCCAGCACCUGCAUUAUUUCAAAUUUCCUGGGGACAGUUUAUGCACUCUGUAUUACAGCCUCACCCUAAAACACCCACGUGCUUGAUGUGGAUUAAGUUUUUAAUAAAAGGACAUGAGAAACUGUGUAUACCCAAGUUGGCAAGUUAUCAUUAAUGAUAUGACUUUGAGAAAUAUUCUUAGGCACAAUAGCACUGCCUGCAGUGACAGUCUUUGAUAAUCAAAGAAAAGACUACCAUUAAAAGAUAAUCUUACAAGUAGAAAGGAAAAAUAUAUGCACCUUUGCCAAUGGAUAUCUUUACAUAUUGCGGAGAAUGUCAUGAGAUUUUCCUUCUGUGAGAUUAAAAAUUACCUUUAACUGACAUCAACUUUUAAUGGAUACCUAAAUAUUAAAAAUCAGACAAAAAUAAAACAAAUUCAACCUAAAUACAAUUUAGGGAAGAAAUGCAGGACUAAUCAUACGAAAAAAUAGCUGCACUUCUUUGGCUAACUCAGUAAAAAAUGCCAAUUGAACAUUUUCAGUCAAAUUUUAUUUUAAAAAAGCAGC
Long non-coding RNA from Fukomys damarensis (Damara mole-rat), 2042 nucleotides. NCBI's taxonomy places the organism in Eukaryota, Metazoa, Chordata, Mammalia, Rodentia, Bathyergidae. The record is from Ensembl.